CGCCUUUUGACACCCUCAUAAAAGGUCCAGCCUGCCCAGUGACUUUGUUCAACGGCCGCGGUAUCCUAACCGUGCAAAGGUAGCGUAAUCACUUGUUUUUUAAAUAAAGACUAGUAUGAAAGGCAUCACGAGGAUAAAGCUGUCUCCUUUUUUUGAUCAGUGAAACUAAUCUUCCCGUGAAGAAGCGGGAAUAUUUUAAUAAGACGAAAAGACCCUAUGGAGCUUUAAACAUUAUAGCACCUGUCAAUCCACCUCCCCCACCUCAGACAUCAUUGACUAUAAGUUUUCGGUUGGGGCGACCACGGAGUAAAAUAAACCCUCCAAGUUGAUUAUACCCAUAAGCCCAGAGCCACAGCUCCAAGCAUUAAUAAAUUAACAUCAAUUGACCCAGUAUUCUGACCAACGAACCAAGUUACCCUAGGGAUAACAGCGCAAUCUACUUCAAGAGUCCCUAUCGACAAGUGGGUUUACGACCUCGAUGUUGGAUCAGGGUCUCCUAGUGGUGUAGCCGCUACUUUAGGUUCGUUUGUUCAACGAUUAAAACCCU
RNAcentral lists this ribosomal RNA (547 nucleotides) under Bryophryne bakersfield. Its description in RNAcentral is "partial 16S ribosomal RNA". It matches the Rfam family "Bacterial large subunit ribosomal RNA", at positions 1817 to 2597 of the family's 2925-position model. Lineage: Eukaryota; Metazoa; Chordata; Amphibia; Anura; Craugastoridae. The record is from RNAcentral.